ACUGUGAGGUAUGCUGGAGGUAUCAGAAGUGCGAAUGCUGACAUAAGUAACGAUAAAGCGGGUGAAAAGCCCGCUCGCCGGAAGACCAAGGGUUCCUGUCCAACGUUAAUCGGGGCAGGGUGAGUCGACCCCUAAGGCGAGGCCGAAAGGCGUAGUCGAUGGGAAACAGGUUAAUAUUCCUGUACUUGGUGUUACUGCGAAGGGGGGACGGAGAAGGCUAUGUUGGCCGGGCGACGGUUGUCCCGGUUUAAGCGUGUAGGCUGGUUUUCCAGGCAAAUCCGGAAAAUCAAGGCUGAGGCGUGAUGACGAGGCACUACGGUGCUGAAGCAACAAAUGCCCUGCUUCCAGGAAAAGCCUCUAAGCAUCAGGUAACAUCAAAUCGUACCCCAAACCGACACAGGUGGUCAGGUAGAGAAUACCAAGGCGCUUGAGAGAACUCGGGUGAAGGAACUAGGCAAAAUGGUGCCGUAACUUCGGGAGAAGGCACGCUGAUAUGUAGGUGAAGCGACUUGCUCGUGGAGCUGAAAUCAGUCGAAGAUACCAGCUGGCUGCAACUGUUUAUUAAAAACACAGCACUGUGCAAACACGAAAGUGGACGUAUACGGUGUGACGCCUGCCCGGUGCCGGAAGGUUAAUUGAUGGGGUCAGCGCAAGCGAAGCUCUUGAUCGAAGCCCCGGUAAACGGCGGCCGUAACUAUAACGGUCCUAAGGUAGCGAAAUUCCUUGUCGGGUAAGUUCCGACCUGCACGAAUGGCGUAAUGAUGGCCAGGCUGUCUCCACCCGAGACUCAGUGAAAUUGAACUCGCUGUGAAGAUGCAGUGUACCCGCGGCAAGACGGAAAGACCCCGUGAACCUUUACUAUAGCUUGACACUGAACAUUGAGCCUUGAUGUGUAGGAUAGGUGGGAGGCUUAGAAGUGUGGACGCCAGUCUGCAUGGAGCCGACCUUGAAAUACCACCCUUUAAUGUUUGAUGUUCUAACGUUGACCCGUGAUCCGGGUUGCGGACAGUGUCUGGUGGGUAGUUUGACUGGGGCGGUCUCCUCCUAAAGAGUAACGGAGGAGCACGAAGGUUGGCUAAUCCUGGUCGGACAUCAGGAGGUUAGUGCAAUGGCAUAAGCCAGCUUGACUGCGAGCGUGACGGCGCGAGCAGGUGCGAAAGCAGGUCAUAGUGAUCCGGUGGUUCUGAAUGGAAGGGCCAUCGCUCAACGGAUAAAAGGUACUCCGGGGAUAACAGGCUGAUACCGCCCAAGAGUUCAUAUCGACGGCGGUGUUUGGCACCUCGAUGUCGGCUCAUCACAUCCUGGGGCUGAAGUAGGUCCCAAGGGUAUGGCUGUUCGCCAUUUAAAGUGGUACGCGAGCUGGGUUUAGAACGUCGUGAGACAGUUCGGUCCCUAUCUGCCGUGGGCGCUGGAGAACUGAGGGGGGCUGCUCCUAGUACGAGAGGACCGGAGUGGACGCAUCACUGGUGUUCGGGUUGUCAUGCCAAUGGCACUGCCCGGUAGCUAAAUGCGGAAGAGAUAAGUGCUGAAAGCAUCUAAGCACGAAACUUGCCCCGAGAUGAGUUCUCCCUG
RNAcentral lists this ribosomal RNA (1572 nucleotides) under Escherichia coli. RNAcentral describes it as "partial 23S ribosomal RNA". It matches the Rfam family "Bacterial large subunit ribosomal RNA", at positions 1260 to 2817 of the family's 2925-position model. Lineage: Bacteria; Pseudomonadati; Pseudomonadota; Gammaproteobacteria; Enterobacterales; Enterobacteriaceae. The record is from RNAcentral.